RNAcentral lists this ribosomal RNA (2921 nucleotides) under Sellimonas caecigallum. RNAcentral's name for it is "23S ribosomal RNA". It matches the Rfam family "Bacterial large subunit ribosomal RNA". Lineage: Bacteria; Bacillati; Bacillota; Clostridia; Lachnospirales; Lachnospiraceae. The record is from RNAcentral.
UUGGUUAUGCUAGAAAGAGCGCAGGGUGGAUGCCUUGGCACUAAGAGCCGAUGAAAGACGUGAUAAGCUGCGAAAAGCUUCGGGGAGGAGCAAAUAUCCAACGAUCCGGAGAUUUCUGAAUGGGGAAACCCACAUGAGGAAACCUCAUGUAUCCAUAACUGAAUCCAUAGGUUAUGGAGGGGAACCCGGUGAACUGAAACAUCUAAGUAGCCGGAGGAAGAGAAAGAAACAUCGAUUCCGGGAGUAGCGGCGAGCGAAACCGGAAGAGCCCAAACCAGCGUGCGUGCAUGCUGGGGUUCGGACCGCGGAAGUGAUCCAACGAGUUUAGCAGAAUGGUUUUGGGAAAGCCAGCCAGAGAGGGUGAAAGCCCCGUAAGCGAAAGACGAGUUGGCACGGCGGGAUCCAGAGUACUACGAGACACGAGAAACCUUGUAGGAAGGAGCGGGGACCACCCCGUAAGGCUAAAUACUCCUUAGUGACCGAUAGCGCAUAGUACUGUGAAGGAAAGGUGAAAAGGACCCCGGGAGGGGAGUGAAAGAGAACCUGAAACCCUGUGUUUACAAGCUGUGGAACAUCUAUAGAGAGAUGGACCGCGUACUUUUUGUAGAACGGUCCGGCGAGUUACGCUGGCUGGCGAGGUUAAGGACUGAAGGUCCGGAGCCGAAGGGAAACCAAGUCUGAACAGGGCGAGAAAGUCAGUCAGAGUAGACCCGAAACCGGGUGAUCUAUCCAUGUCCAGGUUGAAGUUGCCGUAAAAGGCAAUGGAGGACCGAACCCACAUCCGUUGAAAAGGGUGGGGAUGAGGUGUGGAUAGGGGAGAAAUUCCAAUCGAACCCGGAGAUAGCUGGUUCUCCUCGAAAUAGCUUUAGGGCUAGCCUCGAUAGAGUCUGAUGGAGGUAGAGCACUGAAUUUCCUAGGGGGCGUCAAAGCUUACCGAAGAAUAUCAAACUCCGAAUGCCAUUGAGAUGCUUAUCGGGAGUCAGACUACACGAGAUAAGUUGGGUAGUCAAAAGGGAAAGAGCCCAGACCUGCAGCUAAGGUCCCAAAGUGUGUGUUAAGUGGAAAAGGAUGUGGGAUUUCGAAGACAACUAGGAUGUUGGCUUAGAAGCAGCCAUCCAUUAAAAGAGUGCGUAAUAGCUCACUAGUCGAGAGGUCCUGCGCCGAAAAUGUCCGGGGCUGAAACACACCACCGAAGCUCAGGAAUGCGGGGUUAUUGAACUUGUUCAAUAACAUACACCCGCAUUGGUAGAGGAGCAUUGCAUACGGGAAGAAGCAGUACCGGAAGGAGCUGUGGACUGUAUGGAAGAGAGAAUGCCGGAAUGAGUAGCGAGAGGAAGGUGGGAAUCCUUCCGGCCGAAUAUCUAAGGUUUCCAGGGUAAAGCUGAUCUGCCCUGGGUAAGUCGGGGCCUAAGGCGAGGCCGAGAGGCGUAGUCGAUGGACAACAGGUAGAGAUUCCUGUACUACGAUAUGACAGAACUGUGGGGACGCAGAAAGAGAGCGCGAGCCGGGAAUGGAAAGACCGGUGCAAGCGAGGUACCAGUCUGGCAGGCAAAUCCGCCAGGCAAUGGGAAGACGUGAUGCGGAGUGAACUAGAAGUAACGAAGCGCGUGAGCUGGCUGCCAAGAAAAGCCGCUAUUGUUCAUAUCGUACCCGUACCGUAAACCGACACAGGUGGAUGAGGAGAGAAUCCUAAGGCCGACGGGAGAAGCAUUGUUAAGGAACUCGGCAAAAUGACUCCGUAACUUCGGGAGAAGGAGUGCCAGUGAGAGCUGGCCGCAGAGAAUAGGCCCAAGCAACUGUUUAGCAAAAACACAGGUCUAUGCAAAACCGAAAGGUGAGGUAUAUGGGCUGACGCCUGCCCGGUGCUGGAAGGUUAAGGGGAGAGGUUAGCGCAAGCGAAGCUUUGAACUUAAGCCCCAGUAAACGGCGGCCGUAACUAUAACGGUCCUAAGGUAGCGAAAUUCCUUGUCGGGUAAGUUCCGACCCGCACGAAAGGCGUAAUGAUUUGGGCACUGUCUCGACAAUGCACCCGGUGAAAUUGAAGUACCAGUGAAGAUGCUGGUUACCUGCGCCAGGACGGAAAGACCCCAUGGAGCUUUACUCCAGCUUGAUACUGGGACUCGGUAUUGCAUGUACAGGAUAGGUGGGAGGCGAAGAAUUGGAGACGCCAGUCUCCAAGGAGCCGCUGUUGGGAUACCACCCUUGCGGUAUUGGGUUUCUAACCAGCAGCCGUGAACCGGCUGGGGGACAAUGUCAGGUGGGGAGUUUGACUGGGGCGGUCGCCUCCGAAAGGGUAUCGGAGGCGCUCAAAGGUUCCCUCAGAAUGGUCGGAAACCAUUCGAAGAGUGCAAAGGCAGAAGGGAGCUUGACUGCGACACCGACGGGUGGAGCAGGUACGAAAGUAGGACUUAGUGAUCCGGUGGUAUAAAGUGGGAUUGCCAUCGCUCAACGGAUAAAAGCUACCCUGGGGAUAACAGGCUUAUCACUCCCAAGAGUUCACAUCGACGGAGUGGUUUGGCACCUCGAUGUCGGCUCAUCGCAUCCUGGGGCUGAAGUAGGUCCCAAGGGUUGGGCUGUUCGCCCAUUAAAGCGGUACGCGAGCUGGGUUCAGAACGUCGUGAGACAGUUCGGUCCCUAUCCGGCGUGGGCGUAGGAUAUUUGAGAGGAGCUGUCCUUAGUACGAGAGGACCGGGAUGGACCGGCCGCUGGUGUACCUGUUGCAUUACCAAGUGCAUGGCAGGGUAGCCAAGCCGGGAAGGGAUAAACGCUGAAGGCAUCUAAGCGUGAAGCCCCCCUCAAGAUGAGAUAUCCCAUGCGAAAGCAGUAAGACCCCUUGAAGACGACGAGGUAGAUAGGGCAGAGGUGGAAGUGUGGCAACACAUGGAGCUGACUGUCACUAAUAGGUCGAGGGCAUAACCAAG